This 27-nucleotide non-coding RNA is filed under the name Mus musculus (house mouse). Lineage: Eukaryota; Metazoa; Chordata; Mammalia; Rodentia; Muridae. The record is from RNAcentral.
UGUCAAAUUGCUUUAAAGUUAGUGGGU